AUAUAAAGUGGCGCACGGGUGAGUAACACGUGACUAACCUACCCUUGAGUGGGGGAUAACCUCGGGAAACCGGGGCUAAUACCGCAUAAUAUCGAGAGAUCAAAGGAGCAAUUCGCUUAAGGAGGGGGUCGCGGCUGAUUAGCUAGUUGGUGAGGUAAUGGCUCACCAAGGCUAUGAUCAGUAUCCGGCCUGAGAGGGCGCACGGACACACUGGAACUGAAACACGGUCCAG
This 232-nucleotide ribosomal RNA is filed under the name uncultured bacterium. Its description in RNAcentral is "partial 16S ribosomal RNA". It matches the Rfam family "Bacterial small subunit ribosomal RNA", at positions 88 to 334 of the family's 1533-position model. The record is from RNAcentral.